GGGCUUGUAGCUCAGUUGGUUAGAGCACACGCUUGAUAAGCGCGGGGUCGGAGGUUCAAGUCCUCCCAGGCCCACCA
RNAcentral lists this transfer RNA (77 nucleotides) under Brucella intermedia. RNAcentral's name for it is "Ochrobactrum intermedium transfer RNA-Ile". It matches the Rfam family "tRNA". Rfam says of the family: Transfer RNA (tRNA) molecules are approximately 80 nucleotides in length. The record is from RNAcentral. Lineage: Bacteria; Pseudomonadati; Pseudomonadota; Alphaproteobacteria; Hyphomicrobiales; Brucellaceae.